AAAUAGAACUUUGCAGAGAGAGUUAAGAGGGCGUGAACCGUUAAUUGGCAAACGAAUCGGAGCCACGAAGUCGUUUCGUAGUUGAGUUUGGAGGAAUUUAACUUAAGGUGGGUAAAAACCAUUUGGGUGGUUUUCCCCGUUGGGGCCAUUUUUGUAAGCGUACACUGCAACCAGUUAAACAAUUGGUGAUGGGCACAGUUGUUUUGGUUGGUGGGGCCUCACGGUUCUCUGGCCAGGAUAACGAAGCAUUUGUCUGCUCAAGUUAGUAGUAGCUGUUUAAAUGGUUUACCGUUUAUUUGGUUGCUGGACUUGUGGUAGGUGAACUAUGAACCAAAUACUGACUGGCAAAAUGAAAAUCGCCCCCUAGUGGGUGUUGCAUAAAAGGCGACCUGUUGCACUAGUGCCUACACUGUUUGACCAGGUGGUCUUUAAGCUUGGUAGUUUUGAAUUUAAACUUGCUAGCUACCAUUGGGGCAACUCGUGGUGCUAGUAUAGCUUCUAUCUAAUCGGCUGCCGACUUGGCCGCUUGUUGUUCGGGCGUGCUACAAUAGGGCGCUAGUGUGAGCAUUGGUUUGCUAAAAUUGGCAGUGAGUAGGUCGGCUUUCCAAACGACCCGUCUUGAAACACGGACCAAGGAGUCUAAUUAGGCAUCGAGUCGAUCGGUCUUGAUAGGCCAGAUAGUUGGUACUUGUUACUCAAUGAAUGAAGGCGUAGAGAAAUCAAAUCAUGUGAUCGCCGGUGGUUAUACCAAGCCAUGGCGCGCAACAUGUGCCUGUUCUCAAGAGAAUGUUAGCAAUAACUUUUCGAGCGGAGCAAAGAGAUGCCUGAUUGGUACCCGAAAGAUGGUGAACUAUGCCUGGGCAAAUUGAAGCCAGAGGAAACUCUGGUGGAGGAUUGUAGCGAUUCUGACGUGCAAAUCGAUCGUCAGACCUGGGUAUAGGGGCGAAAGACUAAUCGAACCAUC
Molecule: ribosomal RNA, 964 nt
Filed under: Epitrimerus sp. 28sd2-5r37
Lineage: Eukaryota; Metazoa; Arthropoda; Arachnida; Trombidiformes; Eriophyidae
Description: partial 28S ribosomal RNA
Rfam family: Eukaryotic large subunit ribosomal RNA
Source: RNAcentral